CCUACGGGAGGCAGCAGUGGGGAAUUUUGGACAAUGGGCGAAAGCCUGAUCCAGCAAUGCCGCGUGCAGGAAGAAGGCCUUCGGGUUGUAAACUGCUUUUGUACGGAACGAAACGGGUCUGCUUUAAUACAGUGGGCUAAUGACGGUACCGUAAGAAUAAGCACCGGCUAACUACGUGCCAGGCAGCCGCGGUAAUACGUAGGGUGCGAGCGUUAAUCGGAAUUACUGGGCGUAAAGCGUGCGCAGGCGGUUAUAUAAGACAGUUGUGAAAUCCCCGGGCUCAACCUGGGAAUUGCAUCUGUGACUGUAUAGCUAGAGUACGGUAGAGGGGGAUGGAAUUCCGCGUGUAGCAGUGAAAUGCGUAGAUAUGCGGAGGAACACCGAUGGCGAAGGCAAUCCCCUGGACCUGUACUGACGCUCAUGCACGAAAGCGUGGGGAGCAAACAGGAUUAGAUACCCUGGUAGUCCACGCCCUAAACGAUGUCACGUGGUUGUUGGGUGCAUUAGUACUCAGUAACGAGCUACGNGNGAGUAGACGCGNGGAGGUAACGGUCGCGAGUUAGUAACGUUACGAAGAGUUAGNGCGNGAGAGAGCGACGACGACGACGAGGAGGAGG
This 617-nucleotide ribosomal RNA is filed under the name uncultured bacterium. Its description in RNAcentral is "bacterial SSU rRNA". The stretch from base 1 to 554 matches the Rfam family "Bacterial small subunit ribosomal RNA", at positions 338 to 873 of the family's 1533-position model. The record is from RNAcentral.